AAAAUAUUUUGGACGGCCAGUUCUGCCAAAGCACCGGUAUUGUCAAGAAGCAAGAGUGUAGUGUGUAAUAGACUUACGAAUUUUUUAUUUCAACGAAUUAAAACCACCGGUCCAAACUAGUGAACACCAGCUGACAAAAGUCAUGAAUAACUUUAUUUGAACUUUUACUCCAGUUUGCGAAUUCCUGAUUGCCCAUAAAAUCCUGGAUAACCACAGAUCAUCAUGGAGAGUUCUUCGUUGGAUACAAAAUCAGUGAGACAGAUAGAGUGAAAAGCCGUAGCUUCAGCACUUAUCCCUCGACAACUGCUGCCUGUUCGACAUCUGGAGAAGCGAACUUUUAACAGAAAUCAUAGAGCUCCUUGUGUAGUGUCACAUAGUCUUAUUCCUCAAAGCAGGAACAAACGGUCACAGGCCAACCUAUCUACAUGUGGUGCUGUGGGAAUCGUCAGUGCGAAAAGAAGUAUCAGACCGGCAGGAUUCAUUCUUUGAAAAGUCGAGUUGACUCUGGAAACCAUAAUGAUUAUAUAAAUAUUCUGUUUUGCCUAGAAAACCCCACAUUGUGUUAUUAGGGAAUUUGUGAUGCCACUUGUCACAAUUCUAUGGUACAGCAUUGUAAGGUGGCUACCCUAAGGUCUAGGAAAAUGUGUGAAUGUCUUGCUGUUUACUUAAUAAUGGAUUCAGACUUGACAAGUUCAGUGCUAAUUUAAAUGUUAAUCCCAAAUAUUGCCAAUAAUUUGAUUUUUUUAGUUUCCAAACCAUAAAUUGCAAAAGUCGUCAACCCCACUCCCCCAAUCUUCCACGGGCCAUUAUGGACUAGCAAAAACUUUUUUUUUUUCCAAGUUUUAUAUUGUCUGCCAAGUUAAAAAUUUUUUGUAAUGAGCCAUUUUUCCUAUUUCUGCCAUUUUUGUUAACGUAGCCUUCAGCAUAUAAAUUCGGGUAUGUCAUUUAAAAUGAUCAAAUCGAGACUUUUGAAUCCUCGGAUAACGUUUUACUAGUUAGAUUUAAUCUUCAUAAAAGAAAAUGUGUAAAAUAUAUAGUCAGUCAUACGACGAAACCUAAUUCCUUUUAGAAACUGAUAUUUAGAUUUUUUUAAUGAAAUUGAGCAAUAUCACUUUUACUUUGGAUAUGUAUUCAGAAAAUUGAGAGAUCACUGUGAAAUCAUUUUCAGUUUUAAAGCCUUGACAGUUACAAAGGUUAGAAUUGGUAAUUCAAUAUAAAUUCCUGUGUCUUAGCAUUAAUUUCGACAAAUAUUUCAACUGAAAUCAAACUAUUCAGAAAUCUUAAUUGGAUUCUCGAAUUGAGCUUAAUGAUUUAAAACUAGAGAGUGACUAAGGACUGAAAGGGUAUUUACGCUUUUGUAAUGUAAAAAUCAUGACUGUAGCCAGAGAUAAAUCAUGCCAAUGUAAAUGAAACAUCUUUAAUUAAUUUGCUCUCUAAAUCUGUCUAGACUGGUUAGUAAAAGAUUUAACUUGGAA
Macrobrachium nipponense is the source of this 1475-nucleotide long non-coding RNA. RefSeq lists it as uncharacterized. The record is from RefSeq and is a predicted model, not a curated record. Lineage: Eukaryota; Metazoa; Arthropoda; Malacostraca; Decapoda; Palaemonidae. The transcript has 3 exons.